Small nuclear RNA from Meriones unguiculatus (Mongolian gerbil), 103 nucleotides. The record is from Ensembl. Lineage: Eukaryota; Metazoa; Chordata; Mammalia; Rodentia; Muridae.
GGGCUGGCUUAGGCAGCACGCAUACUUAAAUUGGAACCACAGAAAACUUAGCACGUCCCUGUACAAGGAGGGCAUGCAAAUUCAUGAGGCGUUCCAUAUUUUU